This 433-nucleotide ribosomal RNA is filed under the name uncultured bacterium. Its description in RNAcentral is "partial 16S ribosomal RNA". It matches the Rfam family "Bacterial small subunit ribosomal RNA", at positions 29 to 507 of the family's 1533-position model. The record is from RNAcentral.
AACGAACGCUGGCGGCAUGCCUAACACAUGCAAGUCGAACGAGACCUUCGGGUCUAGUGGCGCACGGGUGCGUAACGCGUGGGAACCUGCCCUUAGGUUCGGAAUAACUCCCCGAAAGGGGUGCUAAUACCGGAUAAUGUCCUCGGACCAAAGAUUUAUCGCCUUUGGAUGGGCCCGCGUUGGAUUAGCUAGUUGGUAGGGUAAAAGCCUACCAAGGCGACGAUCCAUAGCUGGUCUGAGAGGAUGAUCAGCCACACUGGGACUGAGACACGGCCCAGAAUCCUACGGGAGGCAGGAGUGGGGAAUAUUGGACAAUGGGGGAAAGGCUGAUCCAGCAAUGCCGCGUGAGUGAUGAAGGCCUUAGGGUUGUAAAGCUCUUUUACCCGGGAUGAUAAUGACAGUACCGGGAGAAUAAGCUCCGGCUAACUACGUG